GACGAACGCUGGCGGCGUGCCUAAUACAUGCAAGUCGAGCGAAGCGGGGACGGGUGAGUAACACGUAAGGAACCUCCGAUAAGCGGGGGACAACAUCCGGAAACGGGUGCUAAACCGCAUAUUAUAGAGGGCCUGCGUGCAUUAGAUCGUGGGGGGGGUAACGGCCUACCAGGAAAUGAUGCAUAGCCGACCUAUAGGGUAAUCGGCCACAUUGGGACUGAGACACGGCCCAAACUCCUACGGGAGGCAGCAGUAGGGAAUCUUCCGCAAUGGGCGCAAGCCUGACGGAGCAACGCCGCGUGAGUGAAGAAGGUUUUCGGAUCGUAAAGCUCUGUUGUAAGAGAAGCGGUAUCUUACCAGAAAGCCACGGCUAACUACGUGCCAGCAGCCGCGGUAAUAC
This 400-nucleotide ribosomal RNA is filed under the name uncultured bacterium. RNAcentral describes it as "partial 16S ribosomal RNA". It matches the Rfam family "Bacterial small subunit ribosomal RNA", at positions 28 to 526 of the family's 1533-position model. The record is from RNAcentral.